UGUAGCUGGGUGAAUUCCAGGUUCCAUCGUCCCUUUGCAAGAUCCCCGAUCCCCGGCGGCUGGUGCUGGGAGCCCGGAGCCCUGGCUGCAGCCAGGAGAGGGGAAUCUCCAGCAGGGCCCUUCCCGCUGCUCCCCAGGAGCCUCUCCCAGGGCAGGGCCCCCUUUCCCGGCCCCAGCUCCCAAGGCGGGCACCGCUCGGAGGGAAGACUGCAGAAUAAUGACCACAUCUCGCUCCAGAUCGUCCCAUCGGGCCAUGAAACAGGGACAGGAAACGGUGGGAGUGGAACCUGCUUGGAUGCCGGUGACCUUCGAGGAGGUGGCUGUGUAU
This is a non-coding RNA of Chelonoidis abingdonii (Abingdon island giant tortoise), 328 nucleotides long. Lineage: Eukaryota; Metazoa; Chordata; Testudines; Testudinidae. The record is from RefSeq and is a predicted model, not a curated record.